GACCCUCAAAAACUAGCCCCUGAACUGAAUUAAACCUGACCCAAAGUGAACAGCAAGGUCCAGAAACGGCAAGGCUUGAGUCAGCCUCCGUCCCCGGACACUUUGAAGGACCGCAGAUCCCUGACCCCUUGGUGGCCCGCGAGGAUCGCGGGUGCGCGCGGUGGGCAGGGAUGCGGCGUCUCCGGCCGCUGGAAGGGAAGGGGCGCGCUGACACCGCGCACCUGCACCCCCGGUGGAGGAGCCGAGGGCACACGACGAUGCCAAUCCCUCGUGAAUCCCGCGAAGGAGGGGCCAGGGGGCUCCGGAUUCAUAGACGCGGGGCGUAGAAGGGGGUCAGGUAGGAAGGCCCAAGGAACGGUGCGAAAGGGCUCCCGGGGGCGGCAGCCGUCAGCGGGAAGGAGGCGGCGGACGGGAAGAGGACGUUGGCCGCGGAGUAGGAGGGGAAAGUCUGGAAGUGCAGAGCUCCGGUGCCGGGAGGGCCAGGACUGGCCCCCGAGCCGCCGCCGCCGCCGCCCCCCGCCGCCCCCGGCUGGGGCGCGCCACCCCCCACCUGCGCCGCGCCGUCGGCACCCGGGUUCUGCUUCUUCCACUUGGUCCUGCGAUUCUGGAACCAGAUUUUGACCUGCGUCUCGGUGAGGCUGAGCGACAGCGCGAGGUUCAGGCGCUCGCACACGGACAGGUAGCGCGUGGCCCGGAACUUGUUCUCCAAGGCCACCAGCUGCUCGUAGGUGAAGGCGGUGCGCGCGCGCCGCGGCUUGGCGCAGUUGGGCUCCACGCGCCGGCGCCUGGGCCGCGGGGAGCCGGGGGAGUCCGGGGGGGACCCUACAGGGCCGCCUCCGCCGUCCUCGCAGGGCUCCCCAGACGCCAGUGCCCCGGCCGGGGCGUCAGGUGAGCGCGCUGGCCCCGGCAGCAAGCGCGCAGCCCGCUCCCGCAGCCGCGGCCUCCUCGGAUCCUCCGCAUCCUCCUCCUCUUCCGCCUCGGAACCCUCCAAGGGGGACGCCUGCCCGGCGCCUGGGCCCGCAGCAUCUAGGGGAGAAGGGGUCGGUGAACAGAAGCCUCUCCAGGUCCCCAAACCUCCUCCUCGUCCUUCCUAGAGCAAGCAGCUCUCCCCCCAACCCAACUCCGGGUGCUGCUCCUGUCCCCACAUCGCGCUUCCCUCAGGCCGGACGGCACAUCCUCGCCAGCGGGUUUAGGGGAAUGGUGUCCUCUUGCCCUUUACAAUCUGCCAUCAAGUAGGCGUCCAAGAAAUGUAUGCUAAAUGAAUGAAUGACACCCCGCAUUAAGAAAAAAUAGUGACCUUAUUGGGUAACCAUAUUGGGGAGUAGGAUCAUUGUAUUAAGACAUCUAGAUGUCAAACGCUUUUAGGGCUGUGCCUUCCCCAGACCCUA
This 1388-nucleotide small RNA is filed under the name Pongo abelii (Sumatran orangutan). RNAcentral's name for it is "retained intron". Lineage: Eukaryota; Metazoa; Chordata; Mammalia; Primates; Hominidae. The record is from RNAcentral.